AGGUGAAGGGGGGGAGGGAGGGGAGAGGAAUAAAUGGGUAGUAAUUCGGUAAAAUAAAAUAAAAUAAAUGAACUAGAGUCUGCUGGUGUUUCUCCGGGCCAUGGAUGUGCAGGAUCCCGAUCGUUAGAAGUUUGCGGAUGGGUUGCCUGGAGAUUUGGUUACAAUCAGGUUCAUUUUUUUUUUUUCCCCUCCUGAAACAAGUGAAGGCGAUGGUUACUGCUGUCAAUCUUGGCAAUCAAUGUGAGCGGCCAUGUCGUAAGUAUUCAAAGCAUUUCCCGUCGUGCAACAUCAGAAAGUGAGUGGCCAGGGCAUUGAUCUGAGGAAGGCAAAAGGAGGCAGGGCUCCCCCGCCCAGACAGCACAGGCAAGAUGAGACAACACAGGGAGAGAGAGGAGGGAGAGGGGAAGGGAGGGAGAGACACAGAGAGAGAGAGAGGCUGGGAGCGAGCGGGGAGAGCAACAACUGCGGAGAAAGUGAGCACAAAACAGAAAGUGAAAUCGGCGCGGGCUGCCAGCCGCAUCCCCGCGCAGCUAUCACCACUCACAGGGCCAUUAGACACAUGAAACCCUACACCGCUCCGCUCCCGCUAAUGACCACUGAUUGCCCGCAGUGGUGAGGAAAGUGAACACCCGCCGUGCGGAUCCGUACACACGUGCCGAGAAACACGAAAAAGCUUUCACUUGGAGUGGUACCCCACGUUUAGAAACCGCGUUCGGAAUCACUGCCCUGGCUUUGGCUGCAUGAAGGCUAAAGGCAGGCAGAUGUUGAGGAGGGAUGCUGACCUGCUGGGGCUCCCUGCACAGGGAAGGGACCGCAGGCGCUCACAUCACGUCAGGGCACUUACCUGUGCACAGCUGUCAUGGCAUUUGGCGCCGUGUGUCACACUAAAUGCCUUAAAGUAAAGCAAUAUUCAACAAGCGAGGCAACCUGUCUGCGUGCUAAGUUGUACGUACGGCAUCUCUAACCUGAGCAGCAAACCUGCAACUCCUGGAGAGUUGGCGGAACACUCAGAAGUUUUGGAUUCAAAGGGCAAAAAAUUUCACUUUAAAAGUCGUUCACCACUUCUAAACUGCCCUCUCGCCCCAGUUAAUGCCGGACAAUUAAGAAGCAUGUUUAUAAAUUCCCUCUGCCGACACUGUCCGACAAUAAAGGCUUCUUAUAGGCUUGCUAAAGAUGUUCAGAGAAACUUUUGCGAAAUAAUCAACAGCAUCUGAGAGAAAGCUAAGGAAAAAGAAGUUAAAGCCUGAUAAUCAGAUUGGGAAAAGUUUUGUUAGACUAGAUAGAAGUAAAUUACUGCACGUUUCUUCAAAAGCAAACCCAUCAGCUGAUACAAGUACCCCUAGAACAAGAACCUCUGGCGAACUCCUCCAAAACUAGGGGACGUUUGCAUUUUGUAACACUCAAAGCUAAAGAUCUGCCUGAAAACAAAAACUCUGAAUUCCUUACAGCGUCAUCUGCCAACAAAAUGUAUUGUCUUGGCAGAAAGAGGAUCAAGGAGAUUUUAAUUUCAUUUUAAACUGUGCAUCAUCUUGAUAGUGAAGGAAAAAGCCGCAGCAACAAUCUCCCCGCUCCACGCCCCCGCCGUUAAAAAAAAAAAAAAAAAAAAAAAAAAAAAAAAAAAAAAAAAAAGGGGGGGGGGGAAGAGAGAACUGGAAAAACCACAUAAACUUUUACAAAGAAAAUAAAAGCAAGUUCGACAUGAAAACCCCUUCCUGUCUCGGAAAGUUCAUUUUAAAGGUCCCCUCUGUAAAUCUAAAGUGCAAACACCAGGCUAAGGUAGUGAGUGGCUGGAAUUUGCAUGCUGAUAAGAGAAGGCUGUUGUACUUACAGUGACAGAGGGCAGGCUGCGGAAGAAAAGCUGUUUGUGUUAGCCUGAGAGUCACCCAGGGCUGCAAUGAGAGGAGAAGAGAGGAGUGGGAGUGCCAAGCUGGAUACACCUUCACCGCAUCUCAUCACAUCUGCCAGCCUCUCUCUCCCUCUCUCUUUCAUUUCCACAUUCCCUUUGUUCCUGAAAAAAAAUCUACACGUCACAUCAGUCCCCAGAUGCAGUCUACACCAAAGAAAAAAAAAAUGAAUAAUUCAAUCAAACUGUGCAUAGUCUCUAAGGCAAUAAAUCUAUUGCACUUAAAGAAACGAAGGGUAAUUACCGCUAUAGAAUUAGAAUAAGGCCAGAGCGCGCAGGGAUCCCAGGGUCUGUAAACUCCACGGUCAAAUAAAGUUUCAUUUAUUUAAUCCUUUGACAACCCCAAUGUAAACUAAAGGGGAGGAUCAGAACUUAUUCCAGUUGGGUUUGAGAAUGCUUGAAGUGAAUGUUAUAAAAGGAGAGCGCCCGUGGUCUGUGACAAACACAAUGCAGGGGAGUAGAAGUGUUUCACUGCAUCACCUCCAGGGUCCGUUCCCCCCUCCCUAAUGAAGAGCAGACCACACUCCCACUUCCACCGGCUCCUGCUGCUCGCUGCAAGUGCAGCGGGGAUCGCUGGCAGCCAGCAGCCGCCUUACCUGCUCCCGAGCGCCAGCACAGCCUGACAAAAACUCAGGGGAGCCGGCAAUUUUGUUCCACGCUCUGGCGGAGGGAAGCCUCGGGGGAUUUGCACCGGCAAGGAUUGCCCCGGAACGGUGCCCCUGACGCGCGGCUGUGCGCGGGGCUGAGGCGGGGGACUGCCCGCCGGGGGCGGGGGGAGCCCGGCGGGAGCGGAGCCCGGCGGGGCGGGCGCGGCGGCGCUGCCGGAGCGCGGUGACGGACCGGCCGGGGCGGGAGGCGGCAGCCGCGCUGCUCCCGCUCCUGCCUGGCAGGCUGCUCCCUCGGCUCGGAGACCCUCGCUCCGAUGCCGCCGGGCUCUGCGCCGACCGGGGAGGCAGAAACACCUUCGGCCGGCGCGGAGCAUCGCGCACCUCCCGUCCCUGCGCCGCUGCAGCAGCGGUUUGAUUUCCCCGAGACAUUACCGGGACUGCUAUUCCAGCGGCGGCGGAGCGGAGCGCGCUCCCGGCCGCCCGGCCGGGGCUGUCCGUGUGCUUACCGCGCCACCGUGAGGCGGCCGCGGGGCCCGCACCGAGCGCGCCGCGCUCCCGGGGACCCCGGCAGGGCGGGCCGGGCUCGGGGCUCCGCCGCGGGCAGCGCGCAGGGGUCCGGGACAGUGCACGCCGCUGCCUCCCGCCCGCUCUCACGGGCCGGAGAAAGACGGGGAGAAUUUAUAGAGAAUUGAGGGAGAUGGGAAUACACAAAGCGAAAGCACCACACCGCUGUUUCCCUUAACCCCCUGCCCCGAGACUUUCUCCCUCCUUCGCCCGUCUCGCCGUCGCCGGGCGCUCCCCAGAGGAUUGGGGUGAGUAGGGCAGAGCGCAUCCCGGCCCGCUCCUCCCGCCGGCACCGCUCCUUGUAGAUCCCGUGCGAACCCCCUGCUGGAAGGCAGUGUCCGCUCGUAGCGUGUGCCAGGGAGCGCUGCUGGCUCCUCUGCCCAUCCUCUUUCCGCCUCCUUCCCCGGCCAAAAUCAGGCCAGUUGCACUGCCCAGGCUUUCCUAGAAGAUUUUCCUUCUCAAGUCUUUUAGCUGAUUUCAAGUUUGAGGCUGGGGUUUUGGUUAUAUUUUGGUGUUUGGUUAUAUUUAUAUUAAUGGAAAGGGAAUUAAAAAAAAAAAAGGAAGACUAGGCUGUCACCACCAAUGGACAGCACCUGGGGUGACACUGCUAAAAGUUGUGGACAAGGCUCAGCACGGUGACUUUCUUAGGCAUGCUCCAGGCACACAAAAGCUAUGGAAAUGGAUUUACUGUAGCAGACAGAUUUUUUUUUUUAUAUAGGGCCACAGCACAUCACUCACCUCUCACAAAAACCUUUAACCCAGAAGGGAGUUCCUCUCAGGAGGCUUUUAGCAGCUGGUGGAAAGCAUCCCAGCUACUGGAAAGCAUCCAUCAUGUCAGGGAAUCCUGGCACCCAGAAAAACACUGACUGCCCUGGCAAGGUUGAAGUCUCUUAACUCCUACCUACUAGUUGCACUGGCAGAGUAAGCUCCACACAUGAACCAUGAGAACUCUAAUAAAAAACUCCAAAAAAUGGCAGUUAGAUUCAGCUGUGAUUGGGAAUCACCUUAAGACUGAAUACCUGAUGCUUUUCAUGCAUACAGUAAAAGUAGAAAAACAUUAGAGUGACUGGAAGGUGCAAAUAUUUCCAUUGAAAUGCAUCUGCUGCUCCUAAUCUGGGAAUUUCACCUAACAACUGGAUUUGCCUGUCAUCUGAAUAAAUUUUCAACUCCCAUCUCUGUACAACAGGAUGACCAUAAAACACCGCUGACAUACAAAAAACGCAGCUCAAGAUUAACAGUGAUUUAAAAUGUGCUUUCCCUGAAGCAGCCCAAAGCCAUGCCAGAGAUGUUUAAAGCAAUCAUCACACUCAUCCUAAGGCAUCUCUUCCUUGAGCGUGCUCCUGUGUAGCCUCACAUAUUAUACCAAUUUUCCCAGCUUCAGCUGGGAGUAGCAGAGCUUGUUGUGGGAAUGAGGGGGGACAGGAGGAUCUGUGUCAGAUAGAGCUAUACUCACAAGCACAUUUGAGGGGCUGGGAGGGGACUCGUGCUACAGGAUGCCCCUACAGCCCACAGCAGCUCUAUUUUAUAUUCCAGCCCAGAGUAAGCUCCAGGUCAGUGGUGUAAACAUGAAAGCUGCUGAGGAUCUUCCCCUAGAAUCUCAGUGACAGAAAAGGCUUUGCUAAAACGUGAUGACUGCAAAGCCCUAUCAGCACACCACGGUGCUUUUAUUUUCUCACUGGCAAUGUCCCAUUCUGACAGCACAUGCCGGAAUUCAACAGAGCAUGUAUAGGCUUUCUAUUGUACCACCGUAAUUAUUUCAUCAGGUUAUUUUUGUUUCAUGCACCCCCCUCAAAUAAAAAAUAACCCCACCAGCAAAGUACAAUUUUCAAAGACCCCGACUGAACUACUAUGCUACAAACAUAUACUGAGUAAAAAAAAUCCAAACAAACAAACAAAAAUACCCAAAUAAAACAAAACAAAAAAAAAAAAAAAUCAAAAAACAACCCUGAAGGUUAGAAUAAAUAAACAAAGUUGUCUUUGACCUGGAGAGUGGCCCACACUGCAAAUAAAUGCAUUACCACUUAACCACACGCACAUGCCACAUUUACAGAAAUAAAAGGAAUCCCCAUGAUAGGGCAAUGAUUUCAUAUUUUAUAUUACUACCACUGUGCACUUAUAAAUUGCAUUGGUUUCAAGAUGUUCUUUUGGAUUUGUGACAGUAUGGCCUAAUCUUGUAGGCUCGUGUCACUGCCAGCUUUUCCAUCCAGAAGCUCAAGUCCUGUGCAUGUGAAGUACAUGCUUCUUACAAAGAGACUCAAAAUGAUGAUGUUGAAAAGGAUUAGCAGUUUAGAAAAUACCAAGACAAGAGGUUAAAAUGUCUACAAAGAUAUUUUGGGGUACGGAGUCGUUUCAAGCUGUCCAAUUUUAUUUGGAGCUUCUAAAUAUCAUGGCAUAUCCCACGCCAUGUCCUCCCUCCAUGUCGGGCGCUUCACAUUUUCUUACCCAAAUACGCAGUAGUAACUUCUGGUAACUAAGUUGACUAAGAAGCAAAUCACUGUAUAAAUCUUCCAAAACAUGUUUAAAUAUAGCUUAGUAAACCGGGAAUGUUGGGCAGAAACUGCUGAAAGCAUUCAUACUGGUAAAACUGAAAUGUGACAUGAUCUCAACGUAUUCGAACAUUCAAUUAUAUGAAACGUUUUUCCAGUGUAAUAUCAGAUUUAAGACUGAAGUGAAGUAAAUGUGAUUUGACUGGUUUGGAAUCUUCCUAAGACAAAUGACUGAAUGUUCAAGGUGUUUUAUUUCCUAUUUGGAUCAGUGAUCAAUAAGCCUUAUACAUGAGAAUCAAGCAUUUUGAAUCGAAAACACACUUUUUUAAUAAGUGCAAGUUAGACUGAAUAAAAUUACUAUGUUUGGAGAGCAAAUCUCACUAUUUUUUUAAAUCAUUGCAAUCUAUAUAAUUAUGAAGUAACUUGAAUAAGGCAUCUUACAUUGGUCCUAAAUUUUUUACUCAAGUAAAACCGUCAUUGAUUCCAACGUGAGUGUUGCCUGAGUAAUAGAGUUCCCUGUCAAACUGUUAAAAUCAGCUAACUUCUAAAAGCCUGUAGAUUGAUGAAAUAACAUGAUUAUACUAAAGGUAUGUAUUUAAUAUGGAAAAAAAAAAAACAAGUUACCAGGCAAAGCCUUUUCACUUUUCACAUUUACAAUAAAAUAAGGCAGUAAUAUAAGUAAAUAUUUUGGGGGGGUUUAUAACUCUGUGCCUGGUCAUGAAGACACUUAAGCUUGUGUUUUUAUUUAUGUAAGUCAUGCCAGUGAAGCAGUGCUCUCAUGUCACAAGCAUUUGAGGUUUAGCAUCUAGGACAAUAGAAACAGCAAUAAACUGGCUUUAAACAUUCCACUAGCAAAACAAGAUUGUUUUUUGCCGUGGAUUGCACUGUAAGAGUUACUUUGGAAUGUCGUGUUUAAAAGUUUCUGAGUGAUGGUAUACAUUCUCUUUGUUUUGAGUGAACAAGCCUUUCAUCAACAUAAUGUAGCAGAGUUAGAUUUUAAAAAGGUUCUCAUAGGAAGCCAGAAUUCCUUCACAAAAAACCAACAUCAGACAAAUGAAAAAUACAGACAUACACCUUUUUCUGUUUUUUUUUUUUAAUGAAGUAUUAAAAGCUUAAUUCUAAUAAGAAUAUUAGGUAAAUAAAUGUUAGCUCUACUGAGUGCUAUUAGCAUAGUUGAAAUAGUAGUUUAUAAAUUUUUGAGAGCAUCAGCAUCAUGAUAUGGUUGUCAUAGAAACUGCAACAAUAUGUCAUUUCAAUUAAUUUUACAUGCAGUGAUGCUGAGGUCUGUGUUACAAUUCUUUUAGGAAGUUCUAGAAGUAAAUAUUGAAUAGCAGGAAUAAAAGCAUUAAUAGAUAAUGGUACCCUUAAAUUAUUAUUUAAUUAACAAAACAGGGAGAAAUUUAAAUUAUUCUAAAAUAAUGACCAUGCUGGAGGAAUCAGUUACACUGACUUAGACUUCAAAACAUCAAAAUUAAAAGACGAAAGCUACGGAAACAUUCAAACUCUAACUGAAAAAAAGUAUCUUUUCCCAAAUGAAGCAGAUUUGAAAAAAAAGUUAAAAAAAUUAUUCCUGUCCAUGAAAUAUAAAACAUGAAAUGGUUUUAAAUCAUCAAUGUUCCUUUUGUGUGUGCAAGAAGCAAAAAGUCAAACGUUACAAAUCCAGGACCAUAAUACAAGAUUUUAAAAAAAGCUUGAAAGGUAGAAAACAUAACAUGAAUAGAUUUAUUUUUCCUGUAUAAUGCAGCUACUGUGUGUUAUGAAUGCUACCUUAAGUAAAUCAUUGCCAGACAUACUCAACUGACAUUAAUGACUUGAUUAUUAGAACAGAAAAGCUAACCGAAAUAAAGGCAGUGUUUCUAAAAAAUAAUUAUAUUGUAGCAGUGUGAAUGUUUUAUUUAUUAUUUUUUAGGUUAUGUAUGAACAUAUACCUCUGUUUUCUUAUUGCACAUGUAUGAUACAAUACCUGAUCUGAUAGCUUAUAUAUGAAAGAAAAUACUGAGCAGAUUGUAAUGAGAAAAAAAAUUAGAUUUUCAACACAUUUUAUACUGCAAUCAAUAAUUCCACAGUAUAUUUUGCUUAAAUUUACUGAGUUACCACACAGACUAGAAUGUGCAAGACCUUUCAAACUGAGAUGUAAAAUGACCUGUUUGUAAGUAAAUAAAAGCUAUCGCUAUUACAAAAAAAAAUUUAAAAAGGGAAAAAAAAAAGAAAAUAAACCCCCCAACCUAUGGAAGCUAUCUGCAGUGAGAAAGGAGAAGCAUCUAGAGCUCUCCUUUCUGAUAGGAUUAAGGAAUGCUACAAAAGAAGCAUUUAAAUCUCCAGUUUUCCCUGACAAUUAACAAUGAAAAGCAGAUGUUUACAAAGCUAUUUUACAUGCUCGUUUAUAAGAUGCUAAAAGAUGGUUUGUGGAUGGUAAGAAGCAAGAGCUGGAUAACUGCUUGUCUGGUGUAUAUUUAAAAGCAUUUUCAUUGGCUCAGUUAUUGUUAAUAAUGAAAGAAACACUUUGUGCUGUAUAGCUGUGACUAUAGAAAACUGCCGUCGUAAAGUCCUCAACAAACUCUUAAGAUGCAAUUUACAAAGAUAAUAAUAACACAGAAUUAUUUCACUUCUCUGAAUGCUACACAUUUGCAUACCAGGACUGUGUACAAUAUACUCAUAAUGCACAUUCAUAACAACAAGGACUUCUUAACAUUGCAACAGCACAAGAUCUGUGCAUUAAAAAUCUACAGAU
Molecule: long non-coding RNA, 8292 nt
Organism: Prinia subflava (tawny-flanked prinia)
Lineage: Eukaryota; Metazoa; Chordata; Aves; Passeriformes; Cisticolidae
Exons: 3
Source: RefSeq, a predicted model, not a curated record